AUUGAACGCUGGCGGCAGGCUUAACACAUGCAAGUCGAACGAGUGGCUGACGGGUGAGUAAUGCUUGGGAAUCUCGCUUAUGGAGGGGGAUAACUACGAGAAACUGUCGCUAAUACCGCGUACCAUAGGAUGAUCCCAAGUGGGAUUAGGUAGUUGGUGAGGUACAGGCUCACCAAGCCGACGAUCUCUAGCUGGUCUGAGAGGAUGACCAGCCACACUGGGACUGAGACACGGCCCAGACUCCUACGGGAGGCAGCAGUGGGGAAUAUUGCGCAAUGGGGGCAACCUGACGCAGCCAGGCCGCGUGAAUGAAGAAGGCCUUCGGGUUGUAAAGUACUUUCGGUAGCGAGGCGUUAACUACAGAAGAAGCACCGGCUAACUCCGUGCCAGCAGCCGCGGUAAUUC
This 405-nucleotide ribosomal RNA is filed under the name uncultured bacterium. RNAcentral's name for it is "partial 16S ribosomal RNA". It matches the Rfam family "Bacterial small subunit ribosomal RNA", at positions 30 to 526 of the family's 1533-position model. The record is from RNAcentral.